CCUACGGGUGGCAGCAGUGAGGAAUAUUGGUCAAUGGACGCAAGUCUGAACCAGCCAUGCCGCGUGCAGGAAGACGGCUCUAUGAGUUGUAAACUGCUUUUGUACGAGGGUAAACGCAGAUACGCGUAUCUGUCUGAAAGUAUCGUACGAAUAAGGAUCGGCUAACUCCGUGCCAGCAGCCGCGGUAAUACGGAGGAUUCAAGCGUUAUCCGGAUUUAUUGGGUUUAAAGGGUGCGUAGGCGGUCGGAUAAGUUAGAGGUGAAAUCCCGAGGCUCAACUUCGGACUUGCCUCUGAUACUGUUCGGCUAGAGAGUAGGUGCGGUAGGCGGAAUGUAUGGUGUAGCGGUGAAAUGCUUAGAGAUCAUACAGAACACCGAUUGCGAAGGCAGCUUACCAGGCUACUUCUGACGUUGAGGCACGAAAGCGUGGGGAGCGAACAGGAUUAGAUACCCUGGUAGUC
Molecule: ribosomal RNA, 460 nt
Filed under: uncultured bacterium
Lineage: Bacteria
Description: partial 16S ribosomal RNA
Rfam family: Bacterial small subunit ribosomal RNA
Source: RNAcentral